GUCGGGAAUAUUGCACAAUGGGCGAAAGCCUGAUGCAGCGACGCCGUGUGAAUGACGAAGUCCUUCGGGAUGUAAAGUUCUGUCAGCAGGGACGAUAAUGACAGUACCUGCAGAGGAAGCUCCGGCAAACUAUGUGCCAGCAGCCGCGGUAAUACAUAGGGAGCGAGCGUUAUCCGGAUUUAUUGGGCGUAAAGCGCACGUAGGCGGUUUGUUAAGUUAGGAGUUAAAGCAUUGGGCUCAACUCAAUUAUGCUUCUAAGACUGACAAACUAGAGUUUAGGAGAGGGAAGAGGAACUCACGGUGUAGCGGUGAAAUGCGUAGAUAUCGUGAGGAACACCAGUGGCGAAGGCGUCUUCCUGGACUAAAACUGACGCUGAGGUGCGAAAGCGUGGGGAGCAAACAGGAUUAGAUACCCCGGUAGUCC
This 424-nucleotide ribosomal RNA is filed under the name uncultured bacterium. RNAcentral's name for it is "bacterial SSU rRNA". It matches the Rfam family "Bacterial small subunit ribosomal RNA", at positions 354 to 796 of the family's 1533-position model. The record is from RNAcentral.